This 253-nucleotide ribosomal RNA is filed under the name uncultured bacterium. RNAcentral's name for it is "partial 16S ribosomal RNA". It matches the Rfam family "Bacterial small subunit ribosomal RNA", at positions 524 to 776 of the family's 1533-position model. The record is from RNAcentral.
UACGAAGGGGGCUAGCGUUGCUCGGAAUCACUGGGCGUAAAGCGCACGUAGGCGGCUUCUUAAGUCAGGGGUGAAAUCCUGGAGCUCAACUCCAGAACUGCCUUUGAUACUGAGUAGCUUGAGUCCGGGAGAGGUGAGUGGAACUGCGAGUGUAGAGGUGAAAUUCGUAGAUAUUCGCAAGAACACCAGUGGCGAAGGCGGCUCACUGGCCCGAUACUGACGCUGAGGUGCGAAAGCGUGGGGAGCAAACAGG